This 1330-nucleotide ribosomal RNA is filed under the name uncultured Microbacterium sp. Its description in RNAcentral is "bacterial SSU rRNA". It matches the Rfam family "Bacterial small subunit ribosomal RNA", at positions 8 to 1351 of the family's 1533-position model. Lineage: Bacteria; Bacillati; Actinomycetota; Actinomycetes; Micrococcales; Microbacteriaceae. The record is from RNAcentral.
AGAGUUUGAUCCUGGCUCAGGAUGAACGCUGGCGGCGUGCUUAACACAUGCAAGUCGAACGGUGAAGCCAAGCUUGCUUGGUGGAUCAGUGGCGAACGGGUGAGUAACACGUGAGCAACCUGCCCUGGACUCUGGGAUAAGCGCUGGAAACGGCGUCUAAUACUGGAUAUGAGCUCCUUCCGCAUGGUGGGGUUGAAAGAUUUUUUCGGUCUGGGAUGGGCUCGCGGCCUAUCAGCUUGUUGGUGAGGUAAUGGCUCACCAAGGCGUCGACGGGUAGCCGGCCUGAGAGGGUGACCGGCCACACUGGGACUGAGACACGGCCCAGACUCCUACGGGAGGCAGCAGUGGGGAAUAUUGCACAAUGGGCGGAAGCCUGAUGCAGCAACGCCGCGUGAGGGAUGACGGCCUUCGGGUUGUAAACCUCUUUUAGCAGGGAAGAAGCGAGAGUGACGGUACCUGCAGAAAAAGCGCCGGCUAACUACGUGCCAGCAGCCGCGGUAAUACGUAGGGCGCAAGCGUUAUCCGGAAUUAUUGGGCGUAAAGAGCUCGUAGGCGGUUUGUCGCGUCUGCUGUGAAAUCCCGAGGCUCAACCUCGGGCCUGCAGUGGGUACGGGCAGACUAGAGUGCGGUAGGGGAGAUUGGAAUUCCUGGUGUAGCGGUGGAAUGCGCAGAUAUCAGGAGGAACACCGAUGGCGAAGGCAGAUCUCUGGGCCGUAACUGACGCUGAGGAGCGAAAGGGUGGGGAGCAAACAGGCUUAGAUACCCUGGUAGUCCACCCCGUAAACGUUGGGAACUAGUUGUGGGGACCAUUCCACGGUUUCCGUGACGCAGCUAACGCAUUAAGUUCCCCGCCUGGGGAGUACGGCCGCAAGGCUAAAACUCAAAGGAAUUGACGGGGACCCGCACAAGCGGCGGAGCAUGCGGAUUAAUUCGAUGCAACGCGAAGAACCUUACCAAGGCUUGACAUACACCAGAACACCGUAGAAAUACGGGACUCUUUGGACACUGGUGAACAGGUGGUGCAUGGUUGUCGUCAGCUCGUGUCGUGAGAUGUUGGGUUAAGUCCCGCAACGAGCGCAACCCUCGUUCUAUGUUGCCAGCACGUAAUGGUGGGAACUCAUGGGAUACUGCCGGGGUCAACUCGGAGGAAGGUGGGGAUGACGUCAAAUCAUCAUGCCCCUUAUGUCUUGGGCUUCACGCAUGCUACAAUGGCCGGUACAAAGGGCUGCAAUACCGUGAGGUGGAGCGAAUCCCAAAAAGCCGGUCCCAGUUCGGAUUGAGGUCUGCAACUCGACCUCAUGAAGUCGGAGUCGCUAGUAAUCGCAGAUCA